AUUGAACGCUGGCGGCAGGCCUAACACAUGCAAGUCGAGCGAGCGGCGGACGGGUGAGUAAUGUAUGGGGACUGCCCGAUAGAGGGGGAUAACUACUGGAAACGGUGGCUAAUACCGCAUACUAUCGGAUAACCCAUAUGGGAUUGGCUAGUAGGUGGGGUAAAGGCUCACCUAGGCGACGAGCUCUAGCUGGUCUGAGAGGAUGAUCAGCGACACUGGGACUGAGACACGGCCCAGACGCCGAGGGAGGCAGCAGUGGGGAAUAUUGGACAAUGGGGGCAAGCCUUAUGCAGCCAGGCCGCGUGUAUGAAGAAGGCCUUAGGGGUGGAAAGUACGUUCAGCGGGGAGGCGGUACCCGCAGAAGAAGCACCGGCUAACUCCGUGCCAGCAGCCGCGGUAAUAC
This 403-nucleotide ribosomal RNA is filed under the name uncultured bacterium. RNAcentral describes it as "partial 16S ribosomal RNA". It matches the Rfam family "Bacterial small subunit ribosomal RNA", at positions 29 to 526 of the family's 1533-position model. The record is from RNAcentral.